This 7542-nucleotide long non-coding RNA is filed under the name Triticum aestivum (bread wheat). RNAcentral's name for it is "long non-coding RNA (TAES_LNC000144)". The record is from RNAcentral. Lineage: Eukaryota; Viridiplantae; Streptophyta; Magnoliopsida; Poales; Poaceae.
UUUUUCUUCUGCAAAACAGUUUGGCCUUGAUUUUUCAAAUAGCCAUAACUUUUUACUCGUUCAUCCAAAUUAGAUGAAACCAGCACCUAUAGUGUCAUCUUGUUUUCACCUAUCCAGUUAACCUGUCACGUCAACUUUUUGAAAUUUUCAAAUUUCGAAAUUUGUUCAAAUUCAUAUUCAAACUUCUUUUGUUCAUAACUUAAGUUCCGUAACUCCGUUUGAGUUGAUUCUUUUUGCAAAGCGAAGCUCUUGACCUAAACUUUUUGAUAAGGCCAAAUCCAUCUAAUUUUGGUACUGUUAGAAACUGUUUUAUGUUGCAAGAGUUAUUUGCUUGUUUUCGAAGUUUUCUGUGAUCUUUUCUUCGAUUCUUUUGCUUGAUUGCUUAUGUGUGGUUACUAUUGCUUGCUCACGAUAGAUUGACCGGAGUGUGACGAGUAGAUCUAUCUAGAGUAUUGAGUGCGAAUCAUCUUCAUCAACAUUGCAGGCAAGUUCACACUUUGAUCAUACCUCUUUUACUACCCAGUUUUAUUGCAUUAGACAAAUCCUCAAACAUUGCAUGGUUAGGAUCUAAAUUAAUUGUGGGUAUUGGGAAGUAGUUGAGGUAGUACCUAUUGCCCUGUUUAUUAUCAAACCCUUGGGAGUUACUUCUAUGUUUGCUUAUAUCGCCAUGCUAUGCUAGUAGACGUGGAUUGGGUUUGAGAGAUAUUCACGACAGAUGUGAGAUUGUUAAUUAAUGGUUUACUUAAGGUGGCAACUAAAACUCACAUCUGGGUGGAUUGAGGCACCUGGAGAACCCAGUGUUGCCUGUUUUUCUAAGGACCGCCACCCAGGUUCAAAGGGAUCAUGAGAUUAUUCAUGCUAGAAACUUCCAUGUGCAGCCACAAGCUAUUAUGGGCUCUAGCAUAGUUGAGUAGGUUACAUGAUCUCUUGAAGAGGUGGGCUAGCAGAUGUAGGGGAAAGUAGGUGUAACUGUCCACCUAGAGUAAAGAGUUAUUGUUUCUAAAAGACUGUGUCUCGGUCAUCCGUUUCUCUAACAUCAUGUAGUGCGAGAAUCAAGCGGACGCGAUCGAGUUUUGUGGGGAAAAGUGCGCUAUCCUCUGCAGAGUGUACAAACUAAUCAUGGUUAGCCGUGUCCCCGGUUAUGGACAACUUGAGUAUCUAGUACUUGGAUUAUCAUGUGAAUCUCAUCAUGUUACUUCAUUAAUUUUGUUGGGUUAAUGAUGAUACUUAAUUGGGAUUGAGAUGCUGUCAACCAUCUCAAUGUUUCAUAACCACCAUGAUAGUUAAAUAAAAUUUAUUCCUUUGCAGUAGGGAAAAUUUGGCUUUUCGCAAAAACAUUAUAACCAUAGAGAUUUUCCACCAGCCAUAUAUGCAUGUAGUCAUAGCCUUUGUUCAUCAUUUCUCUAUGGUGUGAAUUUGCCAGCAUAUUCCAUGUGCUGACCCGUUUUCGGGCUGCAACGUUUCAUGUUGCAGGAUUCUUACGACGAGUAAGUGAUACGUUAGGGUUAUGAUUUCUACACUCAACUUUGCCGUUGGUGUUGAUGGGAAUCCACACCUUGUUACUUCCGCUAUUUGGAUUGAGGUAAUAGUAUUUACGUUACUUUAUGCAUGUGAUUUACCUCUGUGAUAAAUCCUCGAGUACUGUGUGUGUCAGCAUACCGAUCCAGGGAUGACACUUAAGCACAGAGACUUGAUCCAUUCGGGUCGGGUCGCUACAAGAUGGUAUCAGAGCACAUGUUGACUAUAGGACGUGACCCUAGAAACUGGCAAUCCCAUAGGAAGGAUUUUCCCUAAAACUUUCCUUUUCAAAAAGAUCUUUUACCUCUCUCCUUUUCUGAGCUUAUUCAAAUAUUCCCUUUAAGUGAGACCAUACCCUUUUUCCUUUUGGACCACUCGAAGAUUCGACGGAUAAGACCACUUCAAGAAGUACAGGAUAUCGGACAACUAAGACCAUUCAGAAUGAAGAGGAUUUUACCGUGCAUUAUGAUAAUGGAAACUACAACGGUUGAAGACUCCGAAGACUGGGAGAAUUUGAAGGCUCUGAAGAAUUGCCAGAUGUGUAUGACCUAGGAAGGUUACCCUUAUGGAACUUGGCAGACUAUGGAAGCCGUCAAUGCCCGAGAUCAAGGUGUAUCGGAGAAAGACCGAAACAUGGAGAGUUAGAAACUCAAAGUUUUUGUUAAGAAAACCCAAAGAUAGGAGAUAUCAGUUAUGGAAUGAAAGCUCAUGGCAGUAACAUGGGCAUAAACACGGCUAUGUUAUCGUCCGCUUAUGCUAUUGUCACCGUGCCGAGUUAAGCAUGCAUAUGCAUGGAAGGAUUGGAUGGUAGAAGGCUGAUGGAGCACCUAUCAGCAAGAUGAAGUUUUAACUUUAGACCGGUGUAUCACCAGGAUCUGGAGUAUUACAUCAAGAAGUUUUUGACAAAGAAGUGUUUCGUGAAGAACUUAGAACCCAGAAACUGAAAGUAGCCAAGCUGGAAAGCAAAACCUCGAGAUAACGGAGACUCGUCAGGAACUGAAGGACAGUAGGAUCAUGGUUCAUGUCAAGGAUGUUGAGACCCAGAAGUUGGAGCGCAACUCCAGAAAUAUUAAAGGACGUCACGAGAGACUUCGCGUCAACAGAGAUGAUUUGGCAAAAGAACUUGAGAAGGACAAGCAUGAUUGGAAGAAGCCAUCGGAGACAUUAACAAGACUUGAAGAGUUUGGUGACGUUGAAGACUUAUUGACCUUUAGAAGACCAAACCCCUGUUAUACCUACGUUAGAUGCGACGUUUGUGAGCUGUCAUUUGUUUGUUGUUUUUCCGACAGCCACAAUAAAAACCUGUCUCUUCAAAACUAUUGUUUGUAUUGUGUGCAUCCCUCUCGACCUCUCUUAUCUCACCCCAAACCCAUGGACCCAAUAGAGGAUGAAUGGAGAUGAGCUUGUAUUUUCUGGACCGAUGAGUCAAUUGGAGACGGACCGAUGGAUUCAGAACAUGGAGGAUCACAUGAAGAAUAACCCUAUAGUCGGAAAGGAUAUGACCCGGCAUGCUCUUCAAUGUUUUGAAAGAGGUGCUGCUACUUGGUGGAGGAUGUACCAAACCAUCAAUGGAUGGCAAGGAGUAACCACUUGGAAAGAAUUUAAGUGGACUCUACAAAGAUCUCGUCUUGUGUCCUAGAAAUUGAAGCCUUAUGGAAAGGAUAUGAAGAAACCUUGUGCAUACAAGCCCUGUGGAGAAAUAGGACACAACCAUAAGGAACACAAGGAUGAAUGCCCUAAUUGUGAAGGAAGUCACCCAGUUGAAGAAUGCCCAACUAGGCAGAUCACUUGUUUCUUGUGUGAAGGGACUACCCACUACCCUGCUCAGUGUCACAUCUACCCCAUGGUACAAAGGACCAUCCAGCAGAAGAAAGAAGCAAUGAAAAGAGCCCUCAUGGAAAUUUUAGAGGAAUCUGUGAUGAAGGAAGAGGUGGAGGACACACCCAAAGAAGAACCAAUUAAACCCUGCACCAAGUCAUGCUAUUCAUGUGGAGAAGAAGGACACAUCUCCCAAAAUUGUCUGAAUGGGGAUUUAGUAGAAUUCCCGACAGAGGAAGUAGAGUAUGACCCACAGGAAAUAGAAGCCCUGAUUGGAACGGAAAAGUCCAGGAAGAGAAGUAGAUUGGAUCCCAGGAACAACCCAAUUUCUACAAAAAAAGACCUGAGUCAUAUCACAUGUUUCAGGUGCAAAAAUUCAGGACACUACUUCAAUGAUUGCCCAAAAGGGAAGAUGAGGACCCCAGGAGGCUAUAUAAUCACAAGGAAACCUCGAGAUAUGUCAGAAGUAAUAUGUUUCCGUUGUGAUGAAGCAGGGCACUUUGCCAGAGAAUCCCCCAAGGAGACGGAGACUUGUGAUAAAUAGUUGAGUGCAACGAGAAAAAUAGAAGUAGUAGUGUGGACAUUUCUUUUAUUAGUGAGGUGUCGGGUUGAGGCAUGUAAUGGAAUGCAGGAGAUUGUAAUAAUUUGAGAAUCAAUAAAGUUAGCAUCAUUGGUAUUGAUUUGGAUUUUAUGAGUUGUUACGCUAUGAAGAAAGAUUUUGACCAUUUUCGAGGAUAUGAGAAAUAUGGUCUAUGGAAGAUUGUGCAUUUUAAAGGUGGUAGUACCCCGUGAGGAAACUUGACACUUGGAAAAAGGUAAUGAUAUUCCACGAAGUGGAUUUCGAACAAAAUAAGUAUGAGUUUUAUCUCGAUAUGUUGGAUACCCCAAUAAUAUGAGGGUAUGGAGUAUUAUUGGAUGUAAAGGAGGUAGUCUAUGAAAUUGGAGACAGAGCAUGUCUUCGUGUGUUCCCUCUGCGAGGAGUUAAACGAUUUGGAGUUAAGGAAUGUUAGCCCCGAGAUUUGUAGGACCAUACCGAGUUUUGGAGCGUAUGGGAAAAGUGGCCAACAAGUUGGAGUCACCCGAAGGACUGUCAGGAGUUCAUGAUGUGUUUCAUGUUUCCCAGUUGAAGAAGUGCCAUGCAGAGAUGGCCAAUAUUCCCCUGUAAGGACGCUUGACCCUGGAAAGGAUAAUGAUGUUCCACGAAGUGGAGUAUGGACUUCAUAAGUAUAAGUUUUUUUUAUCUCGGUAUGUGGGAUAUCCCCUGAGGAUGAAGAGAUGAAUUACUAUUGGAUAUAAAGGAGGUAUGAUGUUGGAAAUAUGGAUCAAUGGAAUUCCAUGAUGAGUCUGAGUAAUCAUGUCCUAGUUUGGUGCCAAUAGAAGAAAGGAAGACAGUACAAUUGGAUGGAUUUAAGAAUACCAGGAAGUUGGAUGUUGGAUUAAGGAUCAGUUGCCCGAUGAUGAGUUCAAGGAACUACAAGUGAUGAGAUGGGCCAUAACCCACAGGCCCCAGGAGCUGCCAAGAAGCAAGCACAUUCUUGCUGAAGGAAAAAGCCAGGAAGAAGUUACGAUUUUAUCGACAAACGAUCUUAUAGGAGUUACGCGAAACCUGAGGGUUGGGAAGGAACGAUAGAUGUUUGUUUGGCUUGCAGAAUCCAUGGAUUUAUCUGAACUUGGUUCGUCGACAAGAGAAAUUCUACAAUGCUUGCGAGGAUGACCGAGUCUUAGAAUGCGAGAUUCGCUAAACCAUAUACAAGGUAAUGAUUUGGGUGCGGGAUGGAUUGAUCACCAUACCGACUUACUCUUAUUGUUCGCUUUGCAAUAUGGGAUGGUAAAUCUGAGUGACCUACCUAUAGUAGAGAGACGACGGUAUUAAACCUUGCUUGAACGUUAGAAUGGUAUAAGAAUGUUUCCCUUGUACACGGCAGUUGAUGCCAAUCGUAGGUUAUACGGUGAGGAUCAACCAGACCCACUUCCUGCAGGAGAAACCAUAAAUCGUUGACUACCAUGAGAUAUCGAUAGUUGUUUAGUUUUGGCGCCAGACCCAUCAGCUAAGAAGACCCAGUCAUGGAAGAACCAUACCAAGAUGAAAGGAUACAGAAGAAUUGAGGAAAAAGGUUAUGCCACUACCGAAAGAGCCCAUUAUCCUUACGAUCUGAGGAAAAAGGUUUGUACAAAAAUAUUCUAAGCGGCAUGAGGCUUCAAAAACAUGUAACAUCCCAAAAUUCUAAAUUUUGAAAUGUUAUAAUAACUAGAUAGAUUUGAUUGUUUGUUGGAUUGUUGUGUGAUUGAUUGACUGAAAGUGAGUGAAUUCGAAAUCUUUUGAAAGUUAAAUGAGAGGGAAUAAAAGGACUUUCCCAAACUUUCAUUUUGCUUUUAUGAUCUCCAUGAAUUCAAAUUCUUUUCAUCACAAAACCCUCGAGAGAAGAUGACAUGACUUCUUCCAUUUAUUUAAAUGAAAAGGUGUGUUGAAAAUAUUUGAAUAUCAUUUGAAAAUAUUUCCAAUUCAGAAACUUCAAGCAACUCAAUGAUUUUCAUGAGAGAAGAUAAAAUGACUUCUUCAAAACAUAUGAAAUAUGAGUUGGAAGUUUAAAAGGAUGUAAUUUAAAGUCCUUUUGGAAAUUAUUUUCAAUUUGGAGUAUUUGGGUUUUAUUCAAAUUAUUUUUCUCCAAAAUAAAAAUAUAUGGAAAAUAGGCUAACAUGAUUCCCUACAACAGAAAAUUGGAGAGAAAUAAAUUUGAAUUAAUUUUGGUAUUUUGAAAAUGAUUUUUAUUGGAUUUUAGUAGAGCAGUAGCACUCUUUGAUUUAUUUUAAUUUUGUGGAUUUUAUUUAAUGCUAGAAAAAUGCGCAUGCUGUAGGAAAUCUUUUUCUGAAAAUUUUGAUAUAUAAUAUGCCUAUGUACAAUUUUAUUUUUGUUUUCGUUAUACAGUUUUCCUUUCUGUUUCUAAAAAAAGAAAAAAACUGUACGUGCCGCCCAAAUUUUAUCCGUCGCUUACGUGCACAGUGCACCCAUGCCGGCCCAUGUUGUUUUUUUUGUUAUGUUUGCAGAAAAAAAAAUAUUUUUUCUUUUUCUUAAUUUCUUUUCCUUCUUUUAGCGUUUGAAAAAGAAAACUGCCGCACGCACGCGCGCGGCCGGCCGAGGCUUUAGGCCCAUGCGCUUUUCUCUUCUCUUUUUUGUUUUUCGUCUACGUUUAGUCCCACAUUGCUUAGCCUUCGACCUUUAAUCCUUUUUUCCACCAAUAAAUAUAGACCCAUAGAGUCUCCAAAAAUCAUCCGAUUCGGGUUAAAUCAAAAUUUUGGUUUGACUAGAUUCCUUAAAGAAAAAUAUAUUUCUACUCUCUGGCGGGACUUUUGAAAGUUGUCUCCUCACUCCGAAGUCGUCUUUUAGGUAUAUUUAUUCGUUCUGUGUAUUUAUACGUUAGACCUAUUUUUUUUAUUUUUUUAGCCGUAGCUAUUUUUCUUCUGCAAAACAGCUUGGCCUUGAUUUUUUAAAUAGCCAUAACUUUUUACUCGUUCAUCCAAAUUAGAUGAAACCAGCGCCUAUAGUUUCGUCUUGUUUUCACCUAUCCAGUUAACCUGUCACGUGAACUUUUCGAAAUUUUAAAAUUUCGAAAUUUGUUCAAAUUCAUAUUCAAACUUCUUUUGUUCAUAACUUAAGUUCCGUAACUCCGUUUGAGUUGAUUCUUUUUGCAAAGCGAAGAUCUUGACCUAAACUUUCUGAUAAGGCCAAAUCCAUCUAAUUUUGGUACUGCUAGAAACUGUUUUAUGUUGCAAGAGUUAUUUGCUUGUUUUCGAAGUUUUCUGUGAUCUUUUCUUCGAUUCUUUUGCUUGAUUGCUUAUGUGUGGUUACUAUUGCUUGCUCAUGAUAGAUUGACCGGAGUGUGACGAGUAGAUCUAUCCAGAGUAUUGAGUGCGAAUCAUCUUCAUCAACAUUGCAGGCAAGUUCACACUUUGAUCAUACCUCUUUUACUACCCAGUUUUAUUGCAUUAGACAAAUCCUCAAACAUUGCAUGGUUAGGAUCUAAAUUAAUUGUGGGUAUUGGGAAGUAGUUGAGGUAGUACCUAUUGCCCUGUUUAUUAUCAAACCCUUGGGAGUUACUUCUACGUUUGCUUAUAUCGCCAUGCUAUGCUAGUAGACGUGGAUUGGGUUUGAGAGAUAUUCACGACAGAUGUGAGAUUGUUAAUUAAUGGUUUACUUAAGGUGGCAAC